RNAcentral lists this long non-coding RNA (898 nucleotides) under Equus caballus (horse). RNAcentral describes it as "lncRNA (ENSECAG00000033639.3)". Lineage: Eukaryota; Metazoa; Chordata; Mammalia; Perissodactyla; Equidae. The record is from RNAcentral.
CCCACCAGCUGUGCUUCCGUUCGGGACAUCCACAGAUGCCCUGAUGCUGUAGGGGGAACCACGGUCGUGUGCCUGUAUGCAGGGACGUGCAUUUUCUGCAGAAAGAAUGCAUGCCUCUCACCAGCCUCUCAAAGGCAUCCUCCGAGAGGUUAAGAACGACUGUUCUAGGCUAAUGGCCGUUUCUAAGGAAUUCACUAGCCCUGGGAGGGGCAGUGCCUGCAGUGUCAGCAGGGCCCUAGAUGUGACAGCAUUGGAACAAAGACAAUAAAGGACACGGUUGACACAAAGACAACUCACAGUGGACUCCACGGGAGGGAAAUUUGCCUUUGUUAUGUUAAGCCACGGAGAUCGGGAGCUGGUUUACCACGGCAGUGCACUAGUGUGGGAACACAAGGAGAAGCAUGGCCACGUGGAUGGAGAGCUGAGCCUCAGCAUCAGUGUGGCGUCUGUGAGGUUCAUUCAUUCAUUUAUUCACUCAUUCGUUCCUUCAUAUAUCAACCAAUGGUUGUUGCACACCAGCUGUGUGUCAGGCCCAGCGCUGGGUGUGGACUCCCAGAGGUCAAACACUAGCCCUGCCCUCAUGGAGCACACAGUCGUCUGAGAAAGUGACGUGUCAAAGGAUAUGAUGAUAGAGAGUGAAGACUGCCAUGCAGAGGCUGGGUCUGCAGUGGGUAAACAGAGGAGGCGGUGAUGACUGGGGCAGAGGAAUCAGGGAGGGCUUCUCAGAGGAAGUGACAUUUGAGUGUGGUCUUGAUGGAGCUGUGGAAGAGUUCCCGCGCAGAGACAAUGGGAGUGGAUGUUCUGGGUAGUCUAGGAAGAGCAGAGAUGAAGGCACAUCUGGGCUUUGCCAAGAGUUCAGUCAGGCAAAAAAAAAUCCGAUUGAAAAAAUGGGCAAAGG